This 253-nucleotide ribosomal RNA is filed under the name uncultured bacterium. RNAcentral's name for it is "partial 16S ribosomal RNA". It matches the Rfam family "Bacterial small subunit ribosomal RNA", at positions 524 to 776 of the family's 1533-position model. The record is from RNAcentral.
UACGUAGGGUGCAAGCGUUGUUCGGAAUCAUUGGGCGUAAAGCGCGCGUAGGCUGCUAAUUAAGUCGGGUGUGAAAUCCCUGGGCUCAACCGAGGAAGUGCAUUCGAAACUGAUUAGCUAGAAGACGGUAGAGGAAGGUGGAAUUCCUAGUGUAGAGGUGAAAUUCGUAGAUAUUAGGAGGAAUACCGGUGGCGAAGGCGGCCUUCUGGGCCGUGCUUGACGCUGAGGCGCGAGAGCGUGGGUAGCAAACAGG